This 393-nucleotide ribosomal RNA is filed under the name uncultured bacterium. RNAcentral describes it as "bacterial SSU rRNA". It matches the Rfam family "Bacterial small subunit ribosomal RNA", at positions 406 to 796 of the family's 1533-position model. The record is from RNAcentral.
GGAAGACGCUUUUCGGAGUGUAAACUGCUUUUCUGAAGGAGGAAGUUAUGUACUUCGGUGCAUAAUUGACGUUACUUCAGGAAUAAGGGGUGGCAAACUUCGUGCCAGCAGCAGCGGUAAAACGAAGACCCCAAGCGUUACCCGAAUUUAUUGGGCGUAAAGAGUGUGUAGGGGGUUUGGUAAGUCUAUGGUUAAAUCUUCCUGCUUAACGGGAAAAUCGCUGUGGAAACUACCAGACUAGAGGACGCCAGAGGAAAGUGGAACGUACGGUGUAGGGGUGGAAUCCGUUGAUAUCGUACGGAACAUCAAAGGCGAAGGCAUCUUUCUGGGGUGUUCCUGACCUUGAGACACGAAAGCAUGGGUAGCGAACGGGAUUAGAUACCCCCGUAGUCC